RNAcentral lists this ribosomal RNA (776 nucleotides) under fungal sp. RNAcentral's name for it is "SSU rRNA". It matches the Rfam family "Eukaryotic small subunit ribosomal RNA", at positions 325 to 1102 of the family's 1831-position model. The record is from RNAcentral. Lineage: Eukaryota; Fungi.
GUGGUAGGAUAGAGGCCUACCAUGGUGGUAACGGGUAACGGGGUGUUAGGGCACGACACCGGAGAGGGAGCCUGAGAAACGGCUACCACAUCCAAGGAUGGCAGCAGGCGCGCAAAUUACCCAAUCCCGACACGGGUAGGUAGUGACAAUAAAUAACAAUACGGGGUUCUUUCGGAUCUCGUAAUUGGAAUGAGUACAAUUUAAAUCUCUUAACGAGGAACAAUUGGAGGGCAAGUCUGGUGCCAGCAGCCGCGGUAAUUCCAGCUCCAAUAGCGUAUAUUAAAGUUGUUGCAGUUAAAAAGCUCGUAGUUGAACUUCGGAAUUUAUUCAUUGGUCAGACUUAACUGUCUGUACUGGUGUUAUGAAUUUCUACCUUCUGAGGAAUUAUCAUGCCAUUUAGUUGGUGUGGUAGGGAAUCAGGACUGUUACUUUGAAAAAAUUAGAGUGUUUAAAGCAGGCUAACGUCUGAAUACAUUAGCAUGGAAUAAUAGAAUAGGACGGAUUGGUUCUAUUUUGUUGGUUUCUAGGAUCACCGUAAUGAUUAAUAGGGAUAGUUGGGGGCAUUAGUAUUCAAUUGUCAGAGGUGAAAUUCUUGGAUUUAUGGAAGACGAACCACUGCGAAAGCAUUUGCCAAGGAUGUUUUCAUUAAUCAAGAACGAAAGUUGGGGGCUCGAAGACGAUCGGAUACCGUCCUAGUCUCAACCAUAAACGAUGCCGACCAGGGAUCGGCGGAUGUUGCUCUAAGGACUCCGCCAGCACCUUCUGGGAAACCAAUU